Molecule: ribosomal RNA, 473 nt
Filed under: Scarus frenatus (bridled parrotfish)
Lineage: Eukaryota; Metazoa; Chordata; Actinopteri; Labriformes; Labridae
Description: partial small subunit ribosomal RNA
Rfam family: Bacterial small subunit ribosomal RNA
Source: RNAcentral
CACUAUGCAUAGCCGUAAACCUGACAGCUCUUUACAUUUGCUGUUCGCCCGGGAACUACGAGCGUAAGCUUAAAACCCAAAGGACUUGACGGUGCUUUAUAUCCCCCUAGAGGAGCCUGUCCUAGAACCGAUAAUCCCCGUUAAACCUCACCUUUUCUUGCUCAUCCCGCCUAUAUACCGCCGUCUCCAGUCUACCCUGUAAAGGACCCAUAGUAGGCGAAAUUGGUACAGCCCCAGACGACAGGUCGAGGUGUAGCGUAUGAAGAGGGAAGAGAUGGGCUACAUUCAGUGAAACACCGAAUACGGAAAGCUAAUUGAAAUAUUAACUUGAAGGUGGAUUUAGCAGUAAGUGGAGAAUAGAGAGCCCCGCUGAAAUCGGCCCUGAAGCGUGUACACACCGCCCGUCACUCUCCCCGAGCAGAAAGACUCUUUACCUAAAAAGCCAAAGAAUGUAAAGGGGAGGCAAGUCGUAA